CCAAAUACUCACCUUUCUUAGCUUUUUCUGGAUACAAAAAAGGCUCACACAACAUCUACCGCACAAGGAAGAAAUAAAAAGGGAAAAGAGGAGGAAAGAAGGGGGGAGAGGGGGAAUAAGGGAGAGAACAUAGAGAAAGAGCGAGGAGAGAAAGAAAUAGGUAAAAAGACAUCUAGAUGGGCUUGGGACUUGGUCAAGAUUCAAGAUAAAAAACAAACGACUUCAAGAAAAGAUGAACG
This 239-nucleotide long non-coding RNA is filed under the name Amborella trichopoda. Its description in RNAcentral is "long non-coding RNA (ATRI_LNC005499)". Lineage: Eukaryota; Viridiplantae; Streptophyta; Magnoliopsida; Amborellales; Amborellaceae. The record is from RNAcentral.